CUGGUUCCGCUCCUGCGGCUGGGGGGACUGAAGGGGAGAAGCGCCGAGUCCUUGGUUCGGCCCAACGGCUGCAGGGGGACGUUAACGGCUGGUUUGGGUUUAGCGGAACGACGGGCUGGCCGCCAGCGGCCUGUGGCGGGGGCACAGCGCGGUCCCAGCCUCGCGGCGUUCCCGCUAGCUCGGGUCCUGGGAAGCGCCGCCCUGGCACCGUAGCCCCUCAGCCCUCGUCCCCCGUUUCCCUUGGCCCUUCCUCCUCCAGCCCGCCUGCCUUUCUAGGAGGGCGGCUCUAGCUUUUUUGCCGCCCCAAGCACGGCAGGCUCAGGCUGCCUUUGGCCGCGCGCCUGCGGGAGGUCCCCGGUCGCGGAAUGCGCGGGCCGGCAGACCUCCCGCAGGCAAGCCACUCUCGCAGGGACCAGGCAGCCCCCCGGCUUGCCGCCCUAGGCCUCAUUGCAGAGGUUUCCCUUGCCUCUCAGUGUGGCCCCACCAUCUGGGCUGACUGGCUUCAUGAAACCCUCACGCCUGACCUGUAACUCAGCCCCUCUGCGUCUGAUGAACCCGGAUGCAUCUCGCACCAAGUGCAAGUGAUGGAGGCGCCAUCUCACCCCAGACCCCUCUUGAAAGCUCAAGUAAAGGCGCAGGGGCCUCUGUGCCCCCAACUUGGACAGACCUAACUUAACCAGAGGUUUUUCAUGAAAUUUACAGACUACUUGAGCUUUGCUGUCAUAAUUGAUGAUGCCAUCAGAACCUCCUCAAUGGAAUUACAUCAACAUUGUGCAUAUUUGGGUCCCUCCUGUUAGGGGCUCUGUGGGCUUUAUGGGGACCAAAAGCCAGUUUUGCCUAGGAAGUUUGAAAAAUGUGGAAGUUAUCCCUACACAUGAACCAACCCAUGGGCACUGAUAGCCUUGAAAAUAUAAGUAGAUAUAAAAUUAUCAAGAGGAUUGAUAUCCACUUUAGAUGUUCAAAUCACAGCUUCGAUUGACUUCAGUUGCAGAAGUGUUGAGCACUCACAGCUACCUGUCAGACCCAAGGGAUAUCAAGUUGGGCCCCCAGAAAAUGAGGAGAACACAGUGUGACAGUCUCUAUCCCUAUGUUCACCCUUUUUACAAGACUAUGAUAAAUUUUGUACAAAAUGUACCUUGUGAGGUAUCAUUUGAAAACUCAUAAUUUGCUGAUCAUUAUUGUCCUGGUGAAAUGAGUAGCAACAUUGUAUGUAAAGUUAUAAAAUUCUACUGGCAUGACAUUGCUGAGAUGUGUUCCAAGUUCAGAAAAGCAGGCACAAACCAGUUCAACAAAAUCAAAUGGACUGUCACCUGGUUAAGCAUCCAUUCUUUGGCAAGAAAAAGGGUGUGAGCAGGAAAUCUAUUUUUUGGCAAAGAAACAGCUGGAGGUUCCCAUCACCACAGACUUGCUGUCUCCUGAACGUCAGCUGGCGAUGAUUUUCAAACUAUACAAAAGGGAAACAGAUGCUCCAAAAGUGCUGUCCCUUCAUCUCUACUCAUGGCAUCCACAACACUUGAAGAACACAAGAAGCAUAAUUGGACUGGGGAGGGAUCCUGGCAGAAGGAAUUCAGCUAUUAAGAGUGCUCAAACAUGGUGAGAGAGACUUUUGCUUUGAAAUCACUUAGCUUGUUAAGUUAGGUGUUAGUUGUUUUACCUUUUAUUUCUUUUGAAACCAAUUCUGACAUUUUUCAUUACUUGUAAUCACUUAAAAUCUAUCUUUCUGUAGUUAAUAAACUUGUUUCUUUGUUUUAUCUAAA
Long non-coding RNA from Gopherus flavomarginatus (Mexican gopher tortoise), 1757 nucleotides. RefSeq lists it as uncharacterized. The transcript is spliced from 3 exons. Lineage: Eukaryota; Metazoa; Chordata; Testudines; Testudinidae. The record is from RefSeq and is a predicted model, not a curated record.